ACGUACACUCCUGCGGGAGGCAGCAGUGGGGAAUAUUGCACAAUGGGCACAAGCCUGAUGCAGCGACGCCGCGUGGGGGAUGAAGGCCUUCGGGUUGUAAACUCCUUUCGCUAGGGACGAAGCUUUUUUGUGACGAUACCUAGAUAAGAAGCACCGGCUAACUACGUGCCAGCAGCCGCGGUAAUACGUAGGGUGCGAGCGUUGUCCGGAAUUACUGGGCGUAAAGGGCUCGUAGGUGGUUUGUCGCGUCGUCUGUGAAAUUCUGGGGCUUAACUCCGGGCGUGCAGGCGAUACGGGCAUAACUUGAGUGCUGUAGGGGUAACUGGAAUGCCUGGUGUAGCGGUGAAAUGCGCAGAUAUCAGGAGGAACACCGAUGGCGAAGGCAGGUUACUGGGCAGUUACUGACGCUGAGGAGCGAAAGCAUGGGUAGCGAACAGGAUUAGAUACCCGUGUAGUCCCAUG
RNAcentral lists this ribosomal RNA (462 nucleotides) under uncultured organism. RNAcentral describes it as "partial 16S ribosomal RNA". It matches the Rfam family "Bacterial small subunit ribosomal RNA", at positions 329 to 799 of the family's 1533-position model. The record is from RNAcentral.